UGAGUUGAGUUGAGUUGGGUUAC
RNAcentral lists this non-coding RNA (23 nucleotides) under Arabidopsis thaliana (thale cress). The record is from RNAcentral. Lineage: Eukaryota; Viridiplantae; Streptophyta; Magnoliopsida; Brassicales; Brassicaceae.